GGGGGGAGGGCAAGCCCCCAGCUGUCGCAGGAGGAGAAGAAUGGGCGGCUGAGCGCUGGGAGCGGUGUCCACACAGGGUGUCCCAUCCAGACUGGAGGGGCGCGGCCCCCUGAGCAGGAAGCUGGGGUCCGGGCCCGGGGGCGGGGCUAGGACCGGAAGCAGGAGAUAAGACGCUGCCUGUCCUCCUGCUCCCUCUGCCCGCCUCCCCUCACCAGCCUCCUCCCUCUCACCUGCAAAUUAGACUGUCUCCCGAAGAAGAGAGCGAAUUAGAGUGUAUCUUUCCCUCCUUAGUCCCCCUUUUGUUUUCAGGUUCCGAAAUGUCACAGGGUGUCUCUUCCCGGCUCCGAAGCUCCGGGCAGCCCAUCUCACAGGUCACAGGAGAGGGCCCACCUUUUGAGCUGGCUCCUGCCACCAGCGUGCCCUGAGGACUCUCUGCCUCCUGAGGUCUCUGCGCUGGAGUGGCCCAGCUCAGGGCCCUGCACUGGUCAGCCUCGCGGAGGCCAGGCUUGGUGUGAGCUCCCUGCACCCCCUCCCCACGCUCUCUGUGCGAAGACCCUGCGGAAGCAUGGACUCACCCGCUUGGCUGAAGCCCUGGGCAGCACUGGACCUUGCGCUGCCCCUUCUGGGCCCACGUGGCCCCAACCGGAGCGAUUCCCAUUAGAGAAGGGUCAUCUGUGCCACCCAGUCCCUGGGGAGUGGCAGCACGCCCUGGACCUGACCCCCCGUGGGACCCAGGCUCUGCAGGUGAAGCUGGGCAUCUGGAGGCCCUUGGGGGCCUUGACUCCUCUUGUUCCAGCCUUCCCUCCCCCAGACAUCAGACCUGAAUCCACGCGGAGGCCCAGCCCAGGGCCAGCGACUUCCUGGUGAGCUUGCACGUGGCACACUCUCAGGUCUGGAGCAUUUUAGCAACUGGCUCCUUUCCCCAAGAGGGAGGUGCUCUGGGCUCGUGGGCGCGGUGGCCUGUGUGGGUCACCCCAUCCUUCCUUUCUGUGUCGGAAUAACGUCCGAGGCUGGGCCCGUUCUCUCCCCACCUCGCUCCCUGGAUGGACGCGUGUCCUUUCCACCUUUCGGCCACUGUGAACCCGCGCGUGCAUGCAUGUGUUUAGCUGGAAUUCCAACGUGGGCCUGGGCAGGCAUGCGGGCUUCUGACAGACCCACUGACUCCACCCCACCAGCUCUGAACCUGCUCAGUCAGCACCGGGUCUGCCGUUGCCCCCACACCGUGUCCCCGAAGACCCCAAGCUGAGACCGGCCCAAGGCUGCGGCGGGGUCGCGUCCCGCCUCCUCCUGUGUUAGGUACCACGACGUGCGGGUGAAUGUCCCGCCCACCCCCGCAAUUGUCACUUCUGUUCUCGUUUGUUCUCACCUCGUGCUGGCGAGAGAGCAUGGUUAAGAGACACAUCGCGGGGUGUCUCAGAGGAGGCAGGGGAGACCCUUCGCCAUCCGCCCGUGACAGACGGAAAGGAGCUGAUUUCCUUCCCCAAGUUCCAGUCAAGCGCCAGGCUGCCAACAUCUCUUAUUUGUCAGAGGGCAGAACCGUGGGGCGGCGAGUCACCCGCUUCCCGCAGGAUCCGGUCCGCGUGGUCAGAGUCAGCACGACCCUCCUUUUCCGUUUACCCACACACGGGUCCCAAUAAAAUAUUCAUGCGGUGUCACCUCCCCGGCCAGCAGCAGCCUCGGAGUGUGCAGCGGGGAGCAGAGAGGAGGGCACUGCCCCGUCCAUAAACACCGCAUGGGCACAACAUAAAUAAGAAACCGCCGAGAUGCAGGAACUCAAGACCGGAAUUCAUCCUUCGUGGCUUGAAGGCACCAGCCAUAACCGGCAUCGCCCUCAGUCUCCGCGUCGGGGCCGCCCGUUCCUGACAUCGCUCUGGGCCGUGACCACGACGUCUAGUGCCCGGGGUACCUCCCCCCAACUCAAGGCCUGGGGUUUUGGAAAAGGCUGGCGGCACAGGGGCUGUGUUACUAACCAAGGUGACGGUGGGUUCUGCGAGGCUGGGGGAGGGGCGGCACCACCCCCUACAGGUGCACACUGUGUCUGGAACUGUGGUCAGGUCACCAGGUCCCCAGAGCGACGUCCCCCUGCGCAGAGCUGUAGAGAGGCUACCAGGCACUGGCUUGUGGCCUUGGAGGGCUCCCCCCCACCUCGGCAGCCUCCCCAGGACGCCUCCCAUCUCUGCACUGUCCACACCCCCCCGAAAAUCUGGGGCAUCCACACCCCCAGGCUUCCAUCCCUUCAUCCUCCUUAGUGGGUGGACCUCGCUCCUGCAUCUCUGCUCUAUUGCCCCCAGGCCCAGCCUCCUCCCCACCCAGCUUUGCAAAGAGACCCUUUUAACUAAAAAGGACAGCAUGUGAGAGUGGCCCCCUGUGGAACCCGUGCCUUAGAGUGUAUUCUCUGCAAAGUCGCUGGGAGAUCAGAGGACCAUGCAGUCAUUGAACAGACAGCUCCUGAGCCCUUGCCAGGGGGAAGGUGCUGAGCCUGGCAUUUGGAAGAUCCUUCCAAAGGGUGGAGGAGCUCCUGGUCCAGUGGGAGAGGAUCCACUGUGGCCAAAAGGUAUAAGGCAGAAUGUGAGGACAUGAGGAAAGGCCCGUAAACUCCGAGGAGAGGAGAAAAAAUGCACUUGUUUUGUGGGAUAUUUAAAAUGGGUUUUGAGGGAUGAAUAGGAGUUCAUCAGGUAGAGCCUGUAGCAUCUUACAAGGCUUAGAGGCACAGAACAGAACAAGAAGUUCAGGGCUUUGCAGGUGUCUGGAGGGAGAGUGUAUGAGAGAUGGGCAGAGUACUGAUAAUUAAGGGGGUUUUGAAUAACAGAAAAUCAUUUUAAGUUUCUAAGUGGGAUGUGCCAUGGUCAUAUAAAUGUUCUAGAAAAAUCGAUUUGGUAGAGGCCUUGAGGCAUGUCCAGGGCAAUGCGUUCGUGGUGGGGUGUCAGUGACCGCGGAAGGCUGUUACCAUGAGGAGCCAGCCCCCCACCCCCAUGACUUGCCCCUGCCCUGCUGAGGGCAACUGAGAUCACACCUCAGUGCAUGGGCUUCUGUCUCAGACGUAUCCCCUCUGGGUACUUGCAAACCCACCUUGACCAUUUGUCCGACAUGCUCCUCCAGGCUCCUCAUCAGGCUGGGAGUCUGGACUGUGCUGGGAGACCCUGCCCAGCAGAGCAUACACUGUGUCACGGCGCCCCCCUCACCGUGGACCCUCAGCCACGUGGGAGGCAGGAGAGGGGCGCCUGCACGUGACUCUUGCCUGGUGAAGGGCGCACAGCAGUGGCCCCUGCUGGGCCUGCUCCCCUCCUGUCCCACUUCCUAGUUCCGUCUACGUAGGCAGGUUUCCUCCAGGGAAAGUAGGAGAAGGCGACGUAGGGCCAGUUCACCCAGACCUUCUACAGAGAGGGCUCGAGGUAGAGGAACCCGGGGCUCAAACCUCCUUCUCUCUGCGCGCCCUCGCUCCCUCCUCCGUUCUCCGCUUUGCACGGUUUCCUGGUUCUCCUGGGACGUGGCUGGGCUCCUCUGGGCUGGGCGAGCUGCGCUUUCAGCUUCACGGUUCGCAGCCAGGGAGGAAGGUCAGCCCUCUCCUCUCUGAGAUCCAGUUUGGAAAAACCCUCCAGAAGGUCUCAGGUCAUGGGCCCACCCCCUGGACUCCAGGGUCUGGGGACUGAGAUGCUGGAAGGGCCUGUCUGGACAGUUUGCAGAGAGCAGAGUGAGUCUCUUAGGGGGUGUGUGUGUAUAUGUGUAUAAUGUGUAUUUGUGUAUAUGUGUGCGUGUGUGUACAGUGUUUGUGCAUGUAUAGUGUGUGUUUGUGUAUAUGUGUGUGUGUAUAAUGUGUGUUCGUGUAUACACAUAAAGUAUAUAUAUAUAAUUUGUAUGUGCGUGUGUGUGCAUGUAUACUGUGUGAGUAUGUGUGUGUGCACGUGUGCUGGGCACCCGGUUGUGCUCUCUGGGAGCCAUGCAUUCACAUGUCUGCACCUCGUGCUAAUUCCAGGCGAUCCACCAUUGGGUGUGAAUUACACGCAGUUGAAAUCAGGCCCAGGACCAAGUGCUUAGACCAGGGCAGCCAGGGAGGAGUCCUGGGUACCACUGGGCCGUGGGGGCUCCGGUCCUGAUUCUGCCACGAGAAGUGCCCAGACCUCUGGGACCCUGGGGUGCCAUGCAACUCUGGGGUUUCCAGAAAGUUCACAGGCUUUUUCCAACCCUCUCUGGUCGCACUGUUCUCAGCUUAAAGUUAACAAGAAAGGGGCGGGGGAGACUGAAAAGACCGUUCAUUUACAUUAUUUUUUUUCCAAUUUUUAAAAUCAUGCCCUCUGAGAGCACAUUGCCUUUGGGCUCAAGCACAAAAUCUAAAAAACCUUCAAUUCAAAAAGUCGGAGCAGCCUUUCCAAGGGCUGGACUGUGCCGAGCUGCCGAGGCGGCCCGUCCGGCCGUAUGGAAACCAGCCGCAGGGGCUGCCUGGCUGCGCGGGGACCACGUGGCGGAUGCACGGGCGCCCAGGCGGGCAGAGCAGCCGCGCUCAGCCGGGAGAGGCGGCCGCGUUGGGUUGGCGCUAAUUCGAGGCGGGCGGACGGUCAGGCUGCGCAGACACGGUUGGUUUGUAAACAGAUGGGCAGACAGGGUUUGCUGCCAGGGGCGUAACGAUCUGGGUGGGCCUCCUUGUCCCGGAAGUCCUCCCUGCUGCUUUGUCCGCCUUGUCUGCGCCCCCGGCGCUGGGCUGGGUCCGGAGCCGUGGGGAGCGCGCACGGGUGACCUUGUUUUGGGUCCCGGGGCGGGUCUCCCCAGAGAGAAGCACCGCUGAUGCAUAAAGAUGUUCUCACGGGCUUCCUCCGAUCCAGGAAGUCCUCCUCCGCCCCUACGGGGCCCCCUGCGUUCCCGGGGACAUCCUUGCUGCGGUUAGAGUAGGACCCUCCCCAAGUUCAAUGUUCAGUCCUAACCCCCAGCACAUCCAGGUGUGACCUUACUUGGCAAGAGGCUCCUGCAGGUGUAGUUGGUGAAGAUGAGGGUGGGCCUGAGCCCGAUGACCUGUGACCUUGCGUGAAGAGAACAUUCAGACACAGCGACCCGCACGCGGCGAGGAGGCUGGGGCUGCAGAAGCGGUGAUGAGCCAGUGGCCAGCAGACCCCCAGGAGCUGGAGGGGCCUGGGAAGGAGGCCGCCUGCCAGUCCCUGGAUCUCAGGCCUGCAGAGCAGAGGGGAGAAGUCCGGGUGGGUGAAGCCGCCCAGUCUGCGGAGCUCGGUUCCGACCACCCUGGGACCCGAACAGCCCUGUAACCAGCCAAAGAGGGCACCUGCUCUGUGCCGGCGCUUUCUGUGCGCCAUGAGCCACACGCCCCAGCAGGAGAGGAGCUGGCCACACUUCUCAGAGGAGGAGGCGGAGGCGCCGAAGGCUGAGGGUCGGGCUCGAGGAGGGUCCAGCCUGGAGGCAGCGUGGUUUUCUGUCCUUGGAACUGAGGGGCCUUUGCGCAGCCCUCUCCCCAGCUGAGCGGCUGCCCGUGGGGGAUCCGCGGGGAGGAAGGGGUCAGUAGGCUGAGGCUGCCCUGGUGAGGCCAGGGUUUACUUGUGUUUGCUCCUUCCCCAGCCUAAGUCAUUGUUUUCAUUUAUUUGUUUGUUUUUUGCUUUUUAGGGCCACACCCUUGGCACAUGGAGGUUCCCAGGCUAGGGGUGAAAUCAGAGCUGCAUCUGCAACCUACACCACAGCUCAGGGCAACACAGGAGCUUUCACCCCCGAGCGAGGCCGGGGAUCGAACCCGCAACCUCAUGGUUCCUAGUCAGAUUCGUUUCUGCUCUGCCCCAACGGGAACUCCCAAGUCACUGUUUUUACGUGUGUGGAUCUACAGACUCUGAGAACAGGAGCAGUGAUGUAGCCCCUUGUACAAUGGAGAUAGGGGACAUUCCAUCACAGGGGACAUUCCAUCACCCCAAGCGUCCUCGAGCCCUAGGCGGUCUUUGGGCUGAAGGAGGUCAACCCAGACGUGUCUGCCUUUGUCAGGCGACUGGUGGUCUGCUGGGGUCUGCUCCUGGUUUGAGGAGUCUCUCCCUUCACCCCUUGCGCCGUGGACCACCCACGCAAGGCCCCUGGUCAGGUGUGUGGCUUCUGUCUCCAGAGGCUCAGAGGGACUGGAAUCGCAUUCUGAUCGAAGCGUGCACCUGCCUUCGAAGGCUCGCUGUGCAUUCCUUGGCCUUCAUUCUGUCGGUGAAUUAGACGCUUCUCUCAUCGAUAUAAAUGGCCAGACAGUAGCAGUGGCUCCAGUGUCACCACUAAUAGGGUGUGGGUGACUUAAAAACGUGCCCAGUUAGAACAGGGACUGUCUCCCACUGCUCAAGACGUAGGAGGAAAUUCAAGUGCAAAUGUUAAAUAACCACUGACUGUUAAGCCCACACUUGCACGGUCAAGUACAAACAAAUGAAAACGUGAAUC
Molecule: long non-coding RNA, 6399 nt
Filed under: Sus scrofa (pig)
Lineage: Eukaryota; Metazoa; Chordata; Mammalia; Artiodactyla; Suidae
Description: lncRNA (ENSSSCG00055020739.1)
Source: RNAcentral